ACAGGUGGUGCAUGGUUGUCGUCAGCUCGUGUCGUGAGAUGUUGGGUUAAGUCCCGCAACGAGCGCAACCCUUGAUUUUAGUUGCCAGCAUUUAGUUGGGCACUCUAAAGUGACUGCCGGUGCAAGCCGGAGGAAGGUGGGGAUGACGUCAAAUCAUCAUGCCCCUUAUGACCUGGGCUACACACGUGCUACAAUGGAUAGUACAAAGGGUCGCGAAGCCGCGAGGUGGAGCUAAUCCCAUAAAACUAUUCUCAGUUCGGAUUGUAGGCUGCAACUCGCCUACAUGAAGCCGGAAUCGCUAGUAAUCGUGGAUCAGCAUGCCACGGUGAAUACGUUCCCGGGCCUUGUACACACCGCCCGUCACACCACGAGAGUUUGUAACACCCGAAGUCGGUAGGGUAACCUUUAUGGAGCCAGCCGCCGAAGGUGGGACAGAUAAUUGGGGUGAAGUCGUAACAAGGUAGCCGUAUCGGAAGGUGCGGCUGGAUCACCUCCUUU
This 498-nucleotide ribosomal RNA is filed under the name Listeria monocytogenes. RNAcentral's name for it is "bacterial SSU rRNA". It matches the Rfam family "Bacterial small subunit ribosomal RNA", at positions 1034 to 1533 of the family's 1533-position model. The record is from RNAcentral. Lineage: Bacteria; Bacillati; Bacillota; Bacilli; Caryophanales; Listeriaceae.